Molecule: long non-coding RNA, 483 nt
Filed under: Mus musculus (house mouse)
Lineage: Eukaryota; Metazoa; Chordata; Mammalia; Rodentia; Muridae
Description: predicted gene 13822 (Gm13822)
Source: RNAcentral
CGUUACAGACAUGAGACCUAGCAGGGGCUGUGUAGAGAAGUGGGUGGAGCCGGGCUCUGAGGUAGUUAAAGAUUCAGAGCUGGGGUUGCUGAAAGAGUUCAGCAAAGCAGAACGAGGAAGAGCAGGAGGGUGAAGGAAAGGAGAACGUUCUGGAAGCCAAGUGAUAAUGCUGUUUGACAAAGAGGAAGUGGCUCACUAAGUCACAUGUCAGCAUAGGCUGAUGACCAGCAGCUGACAGACAGAGGCAGCUGAGAGAGCCAGCUUUGUGGCCCAAGGCUGGCAUUGGAGUGGACCCUGAAUGAUGGCUCUUCUCUCCGACGCUCCAGCGAUCCUGAGAGUGAAGAAGUGGAGCAUGCUCGGAACUUGGUGGACUUGUGGAAGUCUGAGGAAACUCAGAUUCUUGGCCUCUCCAGUGUGAGGCAGCCAUGGCUGAACUACCUGGACCACACCCUAAGCCAAUCUAAUAAAUCCUCCUUUAAUAUC